AAUCUGCUGACUUUCGCGGCUGACAGCAUGCGACAAUCUGAAGGGCACGGAGGAAAAAAGAAAAAAAAUAGAAAAAACAUCUCCAUGAAUAGUUGGGAAGCCAGCUGUGCUGUGUCUAGCGACUUUGACGUCGACGCUCACGUUAAACACGCUGUUCGCCCACGUACACCAUCGCUAACGAGCAAGGAGCUGUGCAACGUAACGUCUCAACGUUGCGCGCAAGGGGCCACAACAUAAAAGUAUUUCGCAAUGGCCCAUCAUCGUGGAGCCCUCAUGCCCAAGGCUAGGAGCAUCGCCGGAUGGUCUAGUUUUUGACCCAGCUGAAACGCCUCCUCACGGCAUUGUUGAAAUGGUCAAGCACCACGGCGACGCUAGGCAUGGAAUGACCCAUAUUUCUUCAGCGAGACUGAAUGACCUGAGUGAAUAAACUUUACUUCAUGAUCCGGCAGGUUUAUGGUCUGUGCUAAAACACGCAGGAAAGUACCAGCAGACCUUGUCUUCAUACAGCCUCCUGGCCUGCUGGAUAGCCCAUUUUUGGUCUUGGACCUCCGAGCUGAGCAGCACUAGUGGCUACCACUCCUGGAGGGCCUCAGGAGAACACGUUGAUAUUUUGGGGCAUUCCCACAAUAUAUGCUUAUAAGGCGCUCUGAUAUGCAUAGCUUGCACUUAUUGUCGGGUAUGAGUGUGGGUAGCUCGUGUUACCGUGCACAGGGUCAGGGUAGGGGUAGGUAGGCGUUUGUCAGAAGCUUUCUGUAAUUCAGAUGAUUGUUGCCUGUCUAGACUCGGAUGAGGUGCGGGAAAAGACGUGCCUUGCUUCUGUCGAAUUAUUUCACAAACACGUGGUGUUAUGUAUUGAACAUCAGCCCUAUGUAGGCUCGCGUUUACAGUCGUGCUUGCUCGCACUUCAAAACACUAGAGUUCACAGACUAGCUAAAUAUUUAUUGGUCAGAGGUUUGAGUUUUGAAGGGGGUGUGCUAUGAGCACUCUGCUCCCUAAACACUUUCAUGGAAAUUGGUCAAUAAAAAUAUAUUCUGUGAGUCGUCUUUCAAUAAAAUGUUCUAAAUUAAUA
Long non-coding RNA from Rhipicephalus microplus (southern cattle tick), 1069 nucleotides. The record is from RefSeq and is a predicted model, not a curated record. NCBI's taxonomy places the organism in Eukaryota, Metazoa, Arthropoda, Arachnida, Ixodida, Ixodidae.